ACGUAGGGGGCAAGCGUUGUCCGGAAUGAUUGGGCGUAAAGGGCGCGUAGGCGGCCUGGUAAGUCUGGAGUGAAAGUCCUGCUUUUAAGGUGGGAAUUGCUUUGGAUACUGUCGGGCUUGAGUGCAGGAGAGGUAAGUGGAAUUCCCGGUGGAGGGGGGAAAGGAGUAGAGAGGGGGAGGAGCAGAAGUGGGGAAGGCGACAUACAGGAAUGAAACCGACGGUGAGGCGGGAAAGUGUGGGGAGCAAAAAG
RNAcentral lists this ribosomal RNA (251 nucleotides) under uncultured prokaryote. RNAcentral's name for it is "partial 16S rRNA". It matches the Rfam family "Bacterial small subunit ribosomal RNA", at positions 525 to 775 of the family's 1533-position model. The record is from RNAcentral.